This 811-nucleotide ribosomal RNA is filed under the name human gut metagenome. RNAcentral's name for it is "bacterial SSU rRNA". It matches the Rfam family "Bacterial small subunit ribosomal RNA", at positions 75 to 893 of the family's 1533-position model. The record is from RNAcentral.
GGAGCUUGCUCCUGGGUGAGAGUGGCGAACGGGUGAGUAAUGCGUGACCGACCUGCCCCAUACACCGGAAUAGCUCCUGGAAACGGGUGGUAAUGCCGGAUGCUCCAGUUGGAUGCAUGUCCUUCUGGGAAAGAUUCUAUCGGUAUGGGAUGGGGUCGCGUCCUAUCAGCUUGAUGGCGGGGUAACGGCCCACCAUGGCUUCGACGGGUAGCCGGCCUGAGAGGGCGACCGGCCACAUUGGGACUGAGAUACGGCCCAGACUCCUACGGGAGGCAGCAGUGGGGAAUAUUGCACAAUGGGCGCAAGCCUGAUGCAGCGACGCCGCGUGCGGGAUGACGGCCUUCGGGUUGUAAACCGCUUUUGACUGGGAGCAAGCCCUUCGGGGUGAGUGUACCUUUCGAAUAAGCACCGGCUAACUACGUGCCAGCAGCCGCGGUAAUACGUAGGGUGCAAGCGUUAUCCGGAAUUAUUGGGCGUAAAGGGCUCGUAGGCGGUUCGUCGCGUCCGGUGUGAAAGUCCAUCGCUUAACGGUGGAUCCGCGCCGGGUACGGGCGGGCUUGAGUGCGGUAGGGGAGACUGGAAUUCCCGGUGUAACGGUGGAAUGUGUAGAUAUCGGGAAGAACACCAAUGGCGAAGGCAGGUCUCUGGGCCGUCACUGACGCUGAGGAGCGAAAGCGUGGGGAGCGAACAGGAUUAGAUACCCUGGUAGUCCACGCCGUAAACGGUGGAUGCUGGAUGUGGGGACCAUUCCACGGUCUCCGUGUCGGAGCCAACGCGUUAAGCAUCCCGCCUGGGGAGUACGGCCGCAAGG